GAUGAACGCUGGCGGCGUGCCUAAUACAUGCAAGUCGAGCGAACAGACGAGGAGCUUGCUCCUCUGACGUUAGCGGCGGACGGGUGAGUAACACGUGGAUAACCUACCUAUAAGACUGGGAUAACUUCGGGAAACCGGAGCUAAUACCGGAUAAUAUAUUGAACCGCAUGGUUCAAUAGUGAAAGACGGUUUUGCUGUCACUUAUAGAUGGAUCCGCGCCGCAUUAGCUAGUUGGUAAGGUAACGGCUUACCAAGGCAACGAUGCGUAGCCGACCCGAGAGGGUGAUCGGCCACACUGGAACGGAGACACGGUCCAGACUCCUACGGGAGGCAGCAGUAGGGAAUCUUCCGCAAUGGGCGAAAGCUUGACGGAGCAACGCCGCGUGAGUGAUGAAGGUCUUCGGAUCGUAAAACUCUGUUAUUAGGGAAGAACAAAUGUGUAAGUAACUAUGCACGUCUUGACGGUACCUAAUCAGAAAGCCACGGCUAACUACGUG
RNAcentral lists this ribosomal RNA (497 nucleotides) under uncultured bacterium. Its description in RNAcentral is "partial 16S ribosomal RNA". It matches the Rfam family "Bacterial small subunit ribosomal RNA", at positions 28 to 507 of the family's 1533-position model. The record is from RNAcentral.